CGUGGGUAACCUGCCUCAUACACAUGGAUAACAUACCGAAAGGUAUGCUAAUACAAGAUGAUAUAAGAGAUUCGCAUGGAUUUCUUAUCAAAGCUCCGGCGGUAUGAGAUGGACCCGCGUCUGAUUAGCUAGUUGGUAAGGUAAUGGCUUACCAAGGCAACGAUCAGUAGCCGACCUGAGAGGGUGAUCGGCCACAUUGGGACUGAGACACGGCCCAG
This 218-nucleotide ribosomal RNA is filed under the name uncultured bacterium. Its description in RNAcentral is "partial 16S ribosomal RNA". It matches the Rfam family "Bacterial small subunit ribosomal RNA", at positions 116 to 334 of the family's 1533-position model. The record is from RNAcentral.